CCUGAUCACGAGCUGCUUUACGCAGACGUUCUCCAAGAAGAAUCGAGAUUACAGGGAGACUUGACCUUGAGCUCUGGAUCAUGGCCGCAGGUGAGAUGGGCGGGAAACAGCUGGGGAGAGAAGGGGCACCUGUGGAACCUGAUGAUCUGAAAAAGGGCAAUCCGAGCCCGAAGGGUUUCUACGCAUGUUAAGCUGACAUUGCUUAAAUAUUAACAGCACGGCGAUAACAAACAUUUGGAAGUCCGACUUCUGGGUGACUACAGCCGCUGGCUAAAAAAAUGUGCCUGUGGUUAAGAACGUAAGAAUAGCCCUCCUGGAUUAGCUCAAUGGCCCAUCUAGUCCAGCAUCCUGUUUUGUUUUGUUUUCAAAUCAUUUUUAUUAAGUUUCCCAUUUUAACAAUCCAAUCAAAUCACAUUGAAUGUUCCAAAUUACAGUGGUACCUCGGGUUAAGUACCGUAUUUCUCGCUCUAUAAGACGCACCAGACCACAAGACGCACCUAGUUUUUGGAGGAGGAAAACAAGAAAAAAAAUAUUCUGAAUCUCAGAAGCCAGAACAGCAAGAGGGAUUGCAGCACAGCGAAAGCAGCAAUCCCUCUUGCUGUUCUGGCUUCUGGGAUAGCUGCGCAGCCUGCAUUCGCUCCAUAAGACGCACACACAUUUCCCCUUACUUUUUAGGAGGGAAAAAGUGAGUCUUAUAGAGCAAAAAAUACGGUACUUAAUUCGUUCUGCAGGUCCGUUCUUAACCUGAAACUGUUCUUAACCUGAAGCACCACUUUAGCUAAUGGGGCCUCCCCCUGCUGCCGCGCCGCAAGAGCACGAUUUCUGUUCUCAUCCUGAAGCAAAGUUCUUAACCUGAAGCACUAUUUCUGGGUUACAGGAGUCUGUAACCUGAAGCGUAUGUAACCUGAAGCGUACGUAACCGGAGGUACCACUGUAUACAAAUACAUAUCAAAUAGUCCAAAUGUUCUGCCUAAAUUAUAAUUUUUUUGUUGGGACUUCCCAUGCUUCAAGUUCGGGGGGGGGCCUCUGAUCAUCUCAUAUCUCUGCUGCCUUGAAUAGUCUUUCCAAUGUUGUUGUUGUUUGGUCGUUUAGUCGUGUCCUCCUCUUUGUGACCCCAUGGACCAGAGCACGCCAGGCACUCCUGUCUUCCACUGCCUCCCACAGUUUGGUCAAACUCAUGCUGGUAGCUUCGAGAACACUGUCCAACCAUCUCGUCCUCUGUCGUCCCCUUCUCCUUGUGCCCUCCAUCUUUCCCAAUAUCAGGGUCUUUUCCAGGGAGUCUUCUCUUCUCAAGAGGUGGCCAAAGUCUUGGAGCCUCAGCUUCAGGAUCUGUCCUUCCAGGGAGCACUCAGGGCUGAUUUCCUUAAGAAUGGAGAGGUUUGAUCUUCUUGCACUCCACGGGACUCUCAAGAGUCUCCUCCAGCACCAGAAUUCAGAAGCAUCCAUUCUUCGGCGAUCAGCCUUCUUUAUGGCCCAGCUCUCACUUCCAUACAUCACUACCAGGAAAACCACAGCUUUAACUAUACAGACCUUUGUUGUCAAGGUGAUGUCUCUGCUUUUUAAGAUGCUGUCUAGGUUUGUCAUCGCUUUUCUCCCAAGAAGCAGGCGUCUUUUAAUUUCGUGACUGCUGUCACCAUCUGCAGUGAUCAUGGAGCCCAAGCAAGUAAAAUCUCUCACUGCCUCCAUUUCCCCCCCUUCUAUUUGCCGGGAGGUGAUAGUUCCUUUAAAUCUUCCUGUUGUUAACCUUCCUUCUUUCAUGGCCUCUGAAUUGUUUCCACAAGCGAGUUGAAAUAAGCAAUGAUGUGUUUGUGUGUGGAUUUUAGUGUAUGACUCUCCGCCGUUGUUGCAGUAUCUACUCACACGCUGGUGUUUAUGCCGAUUCAAUCCAAAAGUCAUUUCGCUGCUGCCAGACGCCAUCUUCUCUCAAUUCCGACGAAAUCAAAUCUAGGGGUUUGCUCAUUAAUUUUCCCAGACCGGUUGCAUCAAACAUUAGCCUUUCCAGGGGAGAUUUACCAAAUUGUAGUCCAGCAUCCUGUUCUUAUGGUGGAUACCUGUUAUGUACUGAAGUUCUCACCCUGGGCCAGCAGGGGGAUACUGUAGAUAGUUAUGCAAAUGAAGGAUCGAAAGUGACAUUCAGUGAUUGGAUAGUUUGUAUGCAAAUGAAGGAUCGAAAGUGACGUUCAGUGAUUGGCUAGUUACAGAAAAUGGUUACUGUUGCAUUCUAGUGGAGCUCUAUAUAAGCAGGCUGACUGAGCUCCUCAGUUCAGUUCUGUUCCAGUUUACAAAUAAAGAGCUGCUUUGGAAGAAUCGCUGUGUCGUCUGAUAUGUUCGCCCACAACUUAACAAUACCCAACCAGAAGCCCACGGGAAACCAAGGAACAGAACAGGAGCACAAGAGCAUCUCUCCCCAUCCUGUGGUUUCCAGCACCUGCAUAUUCAGAAGCAUUGUUGCCUAGCCAACAUGAAGACCUUUGCCUCCGCCUCGGGAACCCUCAUGCCAAGUUUGGCAACGGUAACGCAAGAGGGGUCCAAAUCUAUGCCAAAAAAGCCGACAGGCGGAGUCGCACCAAAGUCACAUUUCGGUCAGCCAUCUUGAUUCUAGAUGGUGGCCAAGCACCAACAAAGAUCUUCAUCCCCAUCUAAGAAACCCACAUACCAAGUUUGGCAGGGACAUCUCAAAAGGCGGCCCAACCUGGGCCAUUAGAUAAUUUUUAUUAACUUUUCUGUUUUACAAUUUGAAAUACUACAUCUUUAAGAUAUCAGUGACUUCCCUCCUUCUCUUUCCAUGGUUCGUUUUGCAUAUCGUAAAUCCCUGCAUGUUUUACAAAAACUAUAUCAUUCAGUAUUCCAUUAUUGCAUCCAUCUAUACUUAUUUACACUGCUGAAUUUAUCUUAAUGCUGCCACUGUUUUCAGCUAUACACAAUUAUUUCCUGUACAUUCAAUAAACGUUUCCCAAUCUUCUUUAAACGUAUGUUCUUCUUGUUCUCUCAUUCUAUAUGUUUUUUUUCCAAAAAUUUUUAUUCAUUUUAUAACACAAAUAAAAGCACAAACAGAAAAGACAAACAAUACAAAAAAAUUCUUGUCAUAUCCUUAUUUUUCUAAACAUUGUUAAGUGGGCUUCCCCAAGUCCCACCUAUCUGAUUUUCAUUUUACUUCAUCUUUAGCAGUUUACAUAUAUCAUAAUUUCUAACCAUCUUCCCCCACACACACUUACUUUAACCAUAAAAAACUUCACAUUUUAUCACUUCUACUUCUACUUAUAUAUUCUACUUCUAACCCUACCGCCUAUAUCCCCUUCAAGAGCUAUUAAAAGAUUUAAAUAUUAACAUAUUUUUUUCAAAUAUUCCUUAAACUUCUUCCAAUCUUCUUCCACCGUCUCUUCUCUCUGGUCUCGGAGUCUCCCGGUCAGUUUGGCAAGUUCCAUAUAGUCCAUCAUCUUCAUCUGCCAUUCUUCGAUAGUUGGUAAAUCUUGUUUCUUCCAAUUCUUCGCUAGCAAUAUUCUUGCAGCUGUUGUGGCAUACAGAAAAAAGGUAACAUCCUUUUGGGGAUGUCACCCCCACUAUGCCAAGUAAAAAGGCUUCUGGUUUUUUUAAUAAAUGUGUUUUUCAACACUUUUUUCAAUUCAUUAUAAAUCCUUUCCUCAGUGUGUUAAGUUGUGGGCAAACAUAUCAGACGACACAGCGAUUCUUCUAAAGCAGCUCUUUAUUUGUAAGCUGGAACAGAACUGAACUGAGGAGCUCAGUCAGCCUGCUUAUAUAGAGCUCCACUAGAAUGCAACAGUAACCAUUUUCUGUAACUAGCCAAUCACUGAACGUCACUUUCAAUCCUUCAUUUGCAUACAAACUAUCCAAUCACUGAACGUCAAUUUUGAUCCUUCAUUUGCAUUCUAUCUACAGUAUCCCCUGCUGGCCCAGGGUGAGAACUUCAGUACAUAACACAGUGCAUGUAAGUCCCAUAUUGCCAGAGGUGAGUCUCAUCCUGUUUUUCCACCAGAGGCAAAAAGGAAAAGUGAUGCUUUCUGGCUAUGCUGUGACCUCCCACCCUACUUCUGCAGCACUCCAAAAUUGGCUAGAGGGAGGCGUUUUGGUGGAAGCAGUGGAGUGGGUGAGGCGCUGCCUCUUGCACUCCCGCCGCCCAAAGCAGCCGCUUCACCUGGCCCAACAGGUGGGCCGGCUCUGCUCAAGUGACGUGAGCUGGGUUUGAACAGCAGCCACGUAUGACAAGGUUGUAUAUUGUCUCCCUGCUUAUUUAACUUAUAUGCAGAAUUCAUCAUGCGAAAGGUUGGGCUGGAUGACUCCCUAGCCAGAAUUAAGAUUGCCGGAAGAAAUAUCAACAGCCUCAGAUAUGCAGAUGACAAAAGCUUGAUGGCAGAAAGUGAGGAGGAAUUAAAGAACCUUUUAAUGAGGGUGAAAGAGGAGAGUGCAAAAUAUGGUCUGAAGCUCAGCAUAGAAAAAACCAAAGAUCAUGGCCACUGGUCCCAUCACCUCCUGGCAAAUAGAAGGGGGAGAAAUGGAGGCAGUGAGAGAUUUUACUUGCUUGGGCUCCAUGAUCACUGCAGAUGGUGACAGCAGUCACGAAAUUAAAAGACGCCUGCUUCUUGGGAGAAAAGCAGUGACAAACCUGGACAGCAUCUUCAAAAGCAGAGACAUCACCUUGCCAACAAAGGUCUGUAUAGUUAAAGCUAUGGUUUUCCCAGUAGUGAUGUAUGGAAGCGAGAGAAGGGCCAUAAAGAAGGCUGAUCGCCGAAGAAUGGGUGCUUUUGAAUUCUGGUGCUGGAGGAGACUCUUGAGAGUCCCAUGAACUGCAAGAAGAUCAAACCCAUCCAUUCGGAAGGAAAUCAGCCCUGAGUGCUCACUGGAAGGACAGAUCCUGAAGCUGAGGCUCCAAGACUUUGGCCACCUCAUGAGAAGAGAAGACUCCCUAGAAAAGACCCUGAUGUUGGGAAAGACGGAGGGCACAAGGAGAAAGGGAUGACAGAGGACGAGAUGGUUGGACAGUGAUCUCGAAGCUACAAACAUGAGUCUGACCAAACUGCGGGAGGCAGUGGAAGACAGGAGUGCCUGGCGUGCUCUGGUCCAGGGGGUCACAAAGAGGCGGACACGACUAGACAACAACAACAUGUCUCUCUUUUAUACCGAGGGCACAUUUGUGCAUGCUCACCAGCUAGCCAAUCUGUUAGCAAACCCAGUAUUGCAUUUUGCAGGGGACAAGUGCGAAAUGUUCAUUCUGUUCUUCCUAUUUUUAGGUGGCUGAGAAGUUUUUGGCUGUCAUGGGGACCGGGAUCCAUGCACAUGCCUUGGCAGAUGGGUGAGGAGGUAAAAAACAAGAGGAAAGAACAGAAUGCAGUGAGCACGAUGCUUCCGAUGGCAAAUACGCUGCAAUUUCCCUCAGAAUGCCUUGUUGGUAAUUUAGUACUGUUGAAUGGAGGCCAGAGCCGGCCCUAUGAUGAGGCAGAGGGAAGCAGCCACCUCAGGCGGCAGAUGCUGAGGUGCGGGGAGGGAACAGAUUGACAUGUGGCCUUCCCUGUGAAAUAAAAAAAAUAAGGUCUUAUAUGUAUAAUAAAUGUUCAUAAAUGUACCAAGCAAACACGUACAUAAAUAUAUAAACCACAUGUCUGAAGCAGCACAGGAAAACAGCCCGGAAACCAUUUUGACUCCCCAACUGACCAAAUGAUUUCUCUGCAAGGUCAAGAAAAAUGAAAAAGCUCCCCUUUGUCUUUUCAUUCACAAAUCCUGUCUUAAGGGUAUGUCUGUGUAUGAAUAGGGUGAGUCUGUGACUAAGUACCGUAUUUUUCGCUCCAUAAGACAUACCUGACCAUCAGACACACCUAGAUUUUAGAGGAGGAAAACAAGAAAAAAAAUAUUCUACAGUGGAUGUAUGAUUUUUGUGGUUCAUGCUGUGGCAGCCUCCUGUAUCGCUAGAGUCCCUUAUCUCCCCUCCCGAUCACUUGCUGAUCAGCUGCUAAGCGGCUUUGUUUCAACACCCCAUUCCCUCUUUCUAAAAAAAAAAAAAAAAAAGCACAAUCUGCUUUUCACCCCGGGCAAUUGGGCUCCAGGGACCACGCAUUCGCUUCAUAAGACGUACAGACAUUUCCCCUUACUUUCUAGGAGGAAAAAAGUGUGUCUUAUGGAGUGAAAAAUACGGUAUUUAUCAUUACAAAAGACUGGCCAGGCUCCCCAGGGUAUCCAAUCAAGUGACCAUUAACAAGUAACCUGCCAGACAGGAGGUAAACAACAGAUUUCUGGUAAACAGCACUCAGAUUUCUGUUGUAGACCACCCCUUUCUGUGAUGUAUGUAUGAUGUUUCUGGGGGUGGUCUUGGACUCCAGGGCGGGCAAUUUAAAAUGUCUAUAUAAGGGCGGGCACACCUGGGUUCUGGGUCCUCCUCCUCCUGCGUGUGAAGGGGUCACCCUGUUGCAACAGUUCAAUAAAGAUCAGGC
This is a non-coding RNA of Podarcis lilfordi (Lilford's wall lizard), 6440 nucleotides long. Lineage: Eukaryota; Metazoa; Chordata; Lepidosauria; Squamata; Lacertidae. The record is from the annotation of a GenBank genome assembly.